UUCCUGGGUUAGGAGUCACAAAGACAGAAGGGAGCAAAGGAAUUUCUCUGCUUAUACUUUGCCUGGGUUUUGAGGGUAUGAUGCCCAUGCCAGGGACCGGCAGCUGAAUGAGGUUAGGUAACUUACCCAAAGUCACACAUUUUCUCACUAAAGCAUGAAGAAAAACUUUGAGCUGAGUUGGAGGGGAAGGAGAUGAUGAAGGGGAUUGAGGAGAAAGGAGAAAGAUUAGUUAAGUGUAGAUAACAUAUUACUAGGGGGGCAGCCAGGUGGCUCAGUAGAUAAGAGUCAGGCAUAGAGAUGGGAGAUCUGGGUUCAAAUUUGGCCUCAGACACUUCUUAGCUGGGUUACUCUGAGCAAAUCACUUAACCCCCAUUGCCUAGCCCUUACCGCUCUUCUGCCUUGGAACCAAAAUCUAGUAUUGAUUCUGGGACAGAAGGAAAGGGUUUAAAAAAAAGAAUCAAUUAAAGAAAAACAAAAGGAUCAUCUUGUAGGGAGGGCUCAGCUGAGAUUAGAUGACAUAAAAUGAUUGAGAAAGGAGUGAACUCAGUUGUGUGAUUUCCUCUAGCUCCAUUGAACAGAACGUGAGUAGGCGUGAGGGAGGCAGAUGGUAGGAGUAAUCCAGGAUUGGGAUUUGGCAAACUGUGAAAGCUGAUAGGACAUAGGAGGAAGAAAUUAGAGAGUAGAAAAUAGCGUAGAGUUGAAUUUGCUCAACAAAAGGCUGAAACUAGGAAGGAGAGUGUAGCCUGGGUAAGGGUGAGGGCCCGAAAGAGUUCCUGAGAACAGAAGGACUGGAGCUUCUGGUUAAAACAAAGAUGCAACAGUGAUUUCUUUGGCCCUCUCUGCCUGAAGUCCAGGAAGUCCCACUAUUACAGCUACCAUUCCUCCUCCUUCUCCUGCUGCUGCUACUACUCCAACUGCUGUUGCUGCUACAACUACUGCUGCUACUACUAUUGCUACUGCUACAACUACUAUUACUGCUACAACAACUACUACUACUGCUACAAAUACUACUAUUACUACUAUUGCCACAACUACUACUACCACUACUACUAUUACUGCUACAACUACUACUACUAUUACUACUGCUACAAUUACCACUAAUACCACAACUACAACUACUACUAUUACUCCUUCUGCUACAUCUACUACUGCUGCUACUACUAUUACUACUGCUACAACUACUAUUACUGCUACAACUACUACUGCUGCUACUACUACUUCAAAUACUAUUACUACUAUUGCCACAACUAUUAUUACCACUACUACUAUUAUUGCUACAACAACUACUACUAUUACUACUGCUACAACUACUACUAUUACCACAGCUACCACAACUACUACUACUAUUACUACUACUACUGCUGCUGCUACAACUACAACUAUUAUUGCUAUAGCUACAACUAUUACUACUGCUACAAUUACUGUUACUACUUCUACUACUUUUAUUACUAUUGCUACAACUACUACUGCUGCUGCUAUAAUUCCCCACUCACUGAAAAGGCAAGCAAAAUAAUAACUAUACAUGAGAAAUCAUGCAACCCAUAUUUCCAUAUUAGCAAUAUCAUGAAAAAAAAUACCCCAAAGUGAAGAAGACAAGAAAAUUCUACUUCAGUUUAUAUUUAAAGUAUAUCAGCUUUCUCUCUGGAGGUAGAUAGCAUUUUUUCAUUAUAAGUUCUUUGGAACUGUCCUAGAUUGAUCAGAGUAGCCAAGUGUUUCACAGUUGGUAACCAUUAUAACAUUUUUGUUAAUGUACAUAAAGAUUUUUUACUCCUCACUUCACUUUGUUUCAGUUCAUCUAGGUCUUACCAUGGUUUUUUUUAAACCACUCCCCUCCUCAUUUCUUAUAGCACAGUAAUAUUCCAUAACAUUUAUAUGCCACAACUUGUUCAGUCCUUCCACAAUCAGUGAGCAUCUCUUCAAUGUCUAAUUCGUUGCCACCAGGAAAAGAGCUGCUAUAAAUAUUUUUGUACAUAUUUUCUUUUUCUUUGAUUUUCUUUGGGGUACAGACCUAUUCAUUGUAUUUCUAGGUCAAAGAAUAUAUCAUUUUAUAGCCCUUUGGACAUAAUUCCAAAUUCUUCUCCAGAACAAAUUUGCCAACUCCAACAACAGUUUAUUAGUGUGCUUAUUUUGCUUUAUCCCCUCCAGCAUUUAUCAUUUCUGAUAGGUAUGAAAUGGUAUCUCAGAGUUGGGUUAAUUUUUCUGCCUCUAAUCAAUAGUGAUUUACAGCAUUUUUUCUUAAGACUAUUGAUAGCUUUGAUUUUUUUUUCUGCUGAAAACUGCCUGUAGGUAUUCUCUAACUAUUUAUUAAUUAGGAUGUGGUUUUUAGUUUUUAUAAAUUUUUCUCAGUUUCCUAUAUAUUUGAGAAAUAACACUUUUAUCAGAGAAACUUGCUGUAAACAAAUUUUUAUAUUACUUAAUUGUCUAUGGAACCUUUUAGCAAGACUUAAUUUCCCUGUUUAUCUCUUUUAA
Long non-coding RNA from Monodelphis domestica (gray short-tailed opossum), 2469 nucleotides. The record is from Ensembl. NCBI's taxonomy places the organism in Eukaryota, Metazoa, Chordata, Mammalia, Didelphimorphia, Didelphidae.